UACAGAGGGGGCAAGCGUUAUCCGGAAUUACUGGGCGUAAAGCGUCUGCAGGCUGGCUUUUAAGUCCUGUGUAAAAGCCCGGGGCCUAACCUCAGUUAGGCAUUGGAAACUAGUAGUCUAGAGAAUGGUAGAGGUGGGCGGAAUACCGAGUGGAGCGGUGAAAUGCGUAGAUAUUGGGAAGAACACCAGUGGCGAAGGCACUUUACUGGGCCAUUACUGACACUCAGAGACGAAAGCUUGGGGAGCAAAUGGG
RNAcentral lists this ribosomal RNA (253 nucleotides) under uncultured bacterium. RNAcentral describes it as "partial 16S ribosomal RNA". It matches the Rfam family "Bacterial small subunit ribosomal RNA", at positions 524 to 776 of the family's 1533-position model. The record is from RNAcentral.